UACGUAGGGGGCUAGCGUUGUCCGGAUUUAUUGGGCGUAAAGAGCGUGUAGGCGGCCAGGUAGGUCUGCUGUGAAAACUCGAGGCUCAACCUCGAGACGUCGGCGGAAACCAUCUGGCUAGAGUCCGGAAGAGGAGAGUGGAAUUCCUGGUGUAGCGGUGAAAUGCGCAGAUAUCAGGAAGAACACCCGUGGCGAAGGCGGCUCUCUGGGACGGUACUGACGCUGAGACGCGAAAAGCGUGGGGAGCGAACAGG
Molecule: ribosomal RNA, 254 nt
Filed under: uncultured bacterium
Lineage: Bacteria
Description: partial 16S ribosomal RNA
Rfam family: Bacterial small subunit ribosomal RNA
Source: RNAcentral